ACACCGCAUAAGAACGAACAUACAUACAAACAUAAAAUUAAGAGACUUUUUUUUUUUAUAAAAAAUAAAUAAAAAUGAAGAUUUUUAUGCAGUUUGUUUUGUUAUUUUGUUUUCUAAACUUGGUCGUCUCAAAAAUUGUAUACCCUGCUAUAAGGAUUCAUCAAAUUGCGCUGCUACAAAACGGCAAUGUCACUGUAGUUCCAUUUAUUGAGAGAGCGAGUCCAGCUCCUUUAGUACCCCGAGAUCCUAGAGGGAGACGUAUAGUAAUGGCAGUUCCCGAGGCUCUUCCAAAGCAACAAAAUAUAAAUGCCACUGUAACUGCACCUAUUGCUAUGAUGAGUACAGUUCCUUUGGUACCCCAAGAUCCUAGUGAAACACAGAUGGCAGGAGCCAAAUAAAGUAAUUUAUUUAAAGUUAGAAGCCUUAAAUAUUCAAAAAAUGCCCAAUUUGAGAGGAUUUAGUACACAAUUAUUGACAUAAUAUCUUAUUUGCGUCCACAAAACAGGAAUAUGAUGGCAAAAAAAUAACGAUUAAAUUUUAAUUAUGUAAUGGUUUUUAUAAUAGCAAAGAAAUAUUACGGUUCCAAAGGGUUCCUCAAA
Long non-coding RNA from Calliphora vicina (urban bluebottle blowfly), 599 nucleotides. RefSeq lists it as uncharacterized. The record is from RefSeq and is a predicted model, not a curated record. The transcript has 2 exons. Lineage: Eukaryota; Metazoa; Arthropoda; Insecta; Diptera; Calliphoridae.